AUGGUUUUCAUUUGAAAGAUGGUUUCGGCUAUCACUUGAGGACGGACCCGCGGCGUAUUAGCUAGUUGGUGAGGUAACGGCUCACCAAGGCAAUGAUACGUAGCCGACCUGAGAGGGUAAUCGGCCACAUUGGGACUGAGACACGGCCCAAACUCCUACGGGAGGCAGCAGUAGGGAAUCUUCCACAAUGAACGAAAGUCUGAUGGAGCAACGCCGCGUGAGUGAAGAAGGGUUUCGGCUCGUAAAACUCUGUUGUUAAAGAAGAACAGGUGUAAGAGUAACUGUUUACACCGUGACGGUAUUUAACCAGAAAGCCACGGCUAACUACGUGCCAGCAGCCGCGGUAAUACGUAGGUGGCAAGCGUUGUCCGGAUUUAUUGGGCGUAAAGCGAGCGCAGGCGGUCUUUUAAGUCUGAUGUGAAAGCCUUCGGCUUAACCGGAGAAGUGCAUCGGAAACUGGGAGACUUGAGUGCAGAAGAGGACAGUGGAACUCCAUGUGUAGCGGUGAAAUGCGUAGAUAUAUGGAAGAACACCAGUGGCGAAGGCGGCUGUCUGGUCUGUAACUGACGCUGAGGCUCGAAAGCAUGGGUAGCGAACAGGAUUAGAUACCCUGGUAGUCCAUGCCGUAAACGAUGAGUGCUAAGUGUUGGAGGGUUUCCGCCCUUCAGUGCUGCAGCUAACGCAU
RNAcentral lists this ribosomal RNA (685 nucleotides) under uncultured bacterium. RNAcentral describes it as "bacterial SSU rRNA". It matches the Rfam family "Bacterial small subunit ribosomal RNA", at positions 189 to 860 of the family's 1533-position model. The record is from RNAcentral.